Molecule: ribosomal RNA, 567 nt
Filed under: uncultured bacterium
Lineage: Bacteria
Description: bacterial SSU rRNA
Rfam family: Bacterial small subunit ribosomal RNA
Source: RNAcentral
ACUUGCCUCUUGGACUGGGACAACUGUUGGAAACAACAGCUAAUACCGGAUAUUAUGAGAUUCUCGCAUGAGAAAUUUAUGAAAGCUAUAUGCGCCAAGAGAGAGCCUUGCGUUCCAUUAGCUAGUUGGUGGGGUAACGGCCCACCAAGGCGACGAUGGAUAGCCGGCCUGAGAGGGUGAACAGCCACAAGGGGACUGAGACACGGCCCUUACUCCUACGGGAGGCAGCAGUGGGGAAUAUUGGACAAUGGGCCACAAGCCUGAUCCAGCAAUUCUGUGUGCACGAUGAAGGUCUUCGGAUUGUAAAGUGCUUUCAGUUGGGAAGAAGAAAGUGACGGUACCAACAGAAGAAGCGACGGCUAAAUACGUGCCAGCAGCCGCGGUAAUACGUAUGUCGCAAGCGUUAUCCGGAUUUAUUGGGCGUAAAGCGCGUCUAGGCGGAAAAAUAAGUCUGAUGUUAAAAUGCGGGGCUCAACUCCGUAUUGCGUUGGAAACUGUUUUUCUAGAGUACUGGAGAGGUGGGCGGAACUACAAGUGUAGAGGUGAAAUUCGUAGAUAUUUGUAGGA